This 753-nucleotide ribosomal RNA is filed under the name uncultured bacterium. RNAcentral's name for it is "bacterial SSU rRNA". It matches the Rfam family "Bacterial small subunit ribosomal RNA", at positions 32 to 782 of the family's 1533-position model. The record is from RNAcentral.
AACGCUAGCGGCAGGCCUAAUACAUGCAAGUCGAACGGUAAAUAUUUUAGCAAUAGAAUAUGAGAGUGACGUACGGGUGCGUAACACGUAUGCAACCUACCCUUUACAGGCGGAUAGCUCGGGGAAACUCGAAUUAACCCGUCAUAAGAUCAUAGAGUGGCAUCACUUAGUGAUUAAAAUUACGGUGGUAAAGGAUGGGCAUGCGUCUGAUUAGUUAGUUGGCGGUGUAACGGACCACCAAGACGAUGAUCAGUAGGGGAACUGAGAGGUUGAUCCCCCACACUGGCACUGAGAUACGGGCCAGACUCCUACGGGAGGCAGCAGUAGGGAAUAUUGGUCAAUGGAUGGAAGUCUGAACCAGCCAUGCCGCGUGCAGGAAGAAGGCCUUCUGGGUUGUAAACUGCUUUUGCCAGGGGCUAAAAAGCUCAUGCGUGAGAAAUUGAAAGUACCUGGUGAAUAAGCCACGGCUAACUACGUGCCAGCAGCCGCGGUAAUACGUAGGUGGCAAGCGUUGUCCGGAUUUAUUGGGUUUAAAGGGUGCGUAGGCGGCUUUGUAAGUCAGUGGUGAAAUAUGGCAGCUCAACUGUCAGGGUGCCAUUGAUACUGCGGAGCUUGAGUACAGAUGAGGUAGGCGGAAUUGACGGUGUAGCGGUGAAAUGCUUAGAUAUCGUCAAGAACACCGAUAGCGAANGCAGCUUACUGGGCUGUAACUGACGCUGANGCACGAAAGUGUGGGGAUCAAACAGGAUUAGA